This 602-nucleotide ribosomal RNA is filed under the name Grosmannia sp. 1 RJ-2014. RNAcentral describes it as "eukaryotic LSU rRNA". It matches the Rfam family "Eukaryotic large subunit ribosomal RNA", at positions 1 to 626 of the family's 3401-position model. Lineage: Eukaryota; Fungi; Ascomycota; Sordariomycetes; Ophiostomatales; Ophiostomataceae. The record is from RNAcentral.
UUGACCUCGGAUCAGGUAGGAUUACCCGCUGAACUUAAGCAUAUCAAUAAGCGGAGGAAAAGAAACCAACAGGGAUUGCCCCAGUAACGGCGAGUGAAGCGGCAACAGCUCAGAUUUGGAAUCUGGCCUUCGGGCCCGAGUUGUAAUCUGGAGAGGAUGCUUCUGGCGCGGUGCCUUCCGAGUUCCCUGGAACGGGACGCCGGAGAGGGUGAGAGCCCCGUACGGUUGGACACCUAGCCUCUGUGAAGCUCCUUCGACGAGUCGAGUAGUUUGGGAAUGCUGCUCAAAAUGGGAGGUAAAUUUCUUCUAAAGCUAAAUAUUGGCCAGAGACCGAUAGCGCACAAGUAGAGUGAUCGAAAGAUGAAAAGCACUUUGAAAAGAGAGUUAAAAAGUACGUGAAAUUGUUGAAAGGGAAGCGCCCGUGGCCAGACUUGCGCUGCGCGGACCACCCAGCGUUCUCGCUGGUGCACUCCGCGCGGCGCAGGCCAGCAUCGGUUUUCCUAGGGGGAUAAAGGUCGCGGGAACGUAGCUCCUCCGGGAGUGUUAUAGCCCGUGGCGUCAUGCCCCUGGGGGGACCGAGGACCGCGCUUCGGCAAGGAUGC